This 301-nucleotide ribosomal RNA is filed under the name uncultured bacterium. Its description in RNAcentral is "partial 16S ribosomal RNA". It matches the Rfam family "Bacterial small subunit ribosomal RNA", at positions 509 to 807 of the family's 1533-position model. The record is from RNAcentral.
CAGCCGCCGCGGUAAUACAGAUGGUGCAAGCGUUAAUCGGAAUUACUGGGCGUAAAGCGCGCGUAGGUGGUUUGUUAAGUUGGAUGUGAAAUCCCCGGGCUCAACCUGGGAACUGCAUCCAAAACUGGCAAGCUAGAGUAUGGUAGAGGGUGGUGGAAUUUCCUGUGUAGCGGUGAAAUGCGUAGAUAUAGGAAGGAACACCAGUGGCGAAGGCGACCACCUGGACUGAUACUGACACUGAGGUGCGAAAGCGUGGGGAGCAAACAGGAUUAGAUACCCCCGUAGUCCCUGUCUCUUAUAC